Non-coding RNA from Salmo salar (Atlantic salmon), 72 nucleotides. The record is from Rfam. NCBI's taxonomy places the organism in Eukaryota, Metazoa, Chordata, Actinopteri, Salmoniformes, Salmonidae.
UCCCGUGUGGCUCAGUUGGUAGAGCAUGGUGUUUGCAAUGCCAGGGUGGUGGGUUCGAUUCCCACGGGGGAC